GAUGAACGCUGGCGGCGUGCCUAAUACAUGCAAGUCGAGCGAACAGACGAGGUGCUUGCUCCUCUGACGUUAGCGGCGGACGGGUGCGUAACACGUGGAUAACCUACCUAUAAGACUGGGAUAACUUCGGGAAACCGGAGCUAAUACCGGAUAACAUGUUGGACCGCAUGGUUCAACAGUGAAAGACGGUCUUGCUGUCACUUAUAGAUGGAUCCGCGCCGCAUUAGCUAGUUGGUAAGGUAACGGCUUACCAAGGCAACGAUGCGUAGCCGACCUGAGAGGGUGAGCGGCCACACUGGAACUGAGACACGAUACAGACUCCUACGGGAGGCAGCAGUAGGGAAUCGUCCGCAAUGGGCGAAAGCCUGACGGAGCAACGCCGCGUGAGUGAAGAAGGUCGUAGGAUCGUAAAACUCUGUUAGUAGGGAAGAACAAAUGUGUAAGUAACUAUGCACGUCUUGACGGUACCUAAUCAGAAAGCCACGGCUAACUACGUG
RNAcentral lists this ribosomal RNA (497 nucleotides) under uncultured bacterium. RNAcentral's name for it is "partial 16S ribosomal RNA". It matches the Rfam family "Bacterial small subunit ribosomal RNA", at positions 28 to 507 of the family's 1533-position model. The record is from RNAcentral.